This 427-nucleotide ribosomal RNA is filed under the name uncultured bacterium. RNAcentral describes it as "bacterial SSU rRNA". It matches the Rfam family "Bacterial small subunit ribosomal RNA", at positions 355 to 774 of the family's 1533-position model. The record is from RNAcentral.
UGAGGAAUAUUGGACAAUGGGCGCAAGCCCGAUCCAGCCAUGCCGCGUGCAGGAAGAAGGCCUUCGGGUUGUAAACUGCUUUUGUACGGAGCGAAAAGGUCUGCCCUAAUACGGUGGGCUCAUGACGGUACCGUAAGAAUAAGCACCGGCUAACUACGUGCCAGCAGCCGCGGUAAUACGUAGGGUGCGAGCGUUAAUUGGAAUUACUGGGCGUAAAGCGUGCGCAGGCGGUUAUAUAAGACAGAUGUGAAAUCCCCGGGCUCAACCUGGGACCUGCAUUUGUGACUGUAUAGCUAGAGUACGGUAGAGGGGGAUGGAAUUCCGCGUGUAGCAGUGAAAUGCGUAGAUAUGCGGAGGAACACCGAUGGCGAAGGCAAUCCCCUGGACCUGUACUGACGCUCAUGCACGAAAGCGUGGGGAGCAAACA